This 31-nucleotide non-coding RNA is filed under the name Homo sapiens (human). The record is from RNAcentral. Lineage: Eukaryota; Metazoa; Chordata; Mammalia; Primates; Hominidae.
UACUAAACUACGGUUUGAUGGUAAACUCAAC